Molecule: ribosomal RNA, 371 nt
Filed under: uncultured bacterium
Lineage: Bacteria
Description: bacterial SSU rRNA
Rfam family: Bacterial small subunit ribosomal RNA
Source: RNAcentral
AGAGGGUGCGAGCGUUAAUCGGAGUUACUGGGCGUAAAGGGCGCGUAGGCGGUUUUUUAAGAUGGUUGUGAAAUCCCUGGGCUUAACCUAGGAACUGCAACCAUGACUGGAAGGCUAGAGUACUGUAGAGGGUAGUGGAAUUUCCGGUGUAGCGGUGAAAUGCGUAGAGAUCGGAAGGAACACCAGUGGCGAAGGCGGCUACCUGGACAGAUACUGACGCUGAGGCGCGAGAGCGUGGGGAGCAAACAGGAUUAGAUACCCUGGUAGUCCACGCUGUAAACGAUGAAGACUAGAUGUUGGGCCACCAUGACUGUUUAGUAUCGAAGCUAACGCGAUAAGUCUUCCGCCUGGGGAGUACGACCGCAAGGUUA